This 923-nucleotide ribosomal RNA is filed under the name uncultured bacterium. Its description in RNAcentral is "bacterial SSU rRNA". It matches the Rfam family "Bacterial small subunit ribosomal RNA", at positions 8 to 916 of the family's 1533-position model. The record is from RNAcentral.
AGAGUUUGAUCCUGGCUCAGGACAAACGCUGGCGGCGUGCCUAACACAUGCAAGUCGAGCGCGAAAGGGACCUUCGGGUCCCCUGAGAGCGGCGAACGGGUGAGUAACACGUGGGCAACCUGCCUCAAGGACUGGGAUAACUCCGGGAAACCGGGGCUAAUGCCGGGCGAUGUAGUCUCGCGCAAGCGAGCCUACCAAAUGGUAGCUUCGGCCUCCGCCUUGAGAUGGGCCCGCGUCCUAUCAGCUUGUUGGUGAGGUAAUGGCUCACCAAGGCUACGACGGGUAGCUGGUCUGAGAGGAUGAUCAGCCACACUGGGACUGAGAUACGGCCCAGACUCCUACGGGAGGCAGCAGUGGGGAAUCUUGCGCAAUGGGCGAAAGCCUGACGCAGCAACGCCGCGUGAGCGAAGAAGGCCUUCGGGUUGUAAAGCUCUGUCAGGAGGAAAGAAGGCACCUGGGUUAAUAGCCCAAGGGCUGACGGUACCUCCAAAGGAAGCCACGGCUAACUACGUGCCAGCAGCCGCGGUAAUACGUAGGUGGCAAGCGUUGUCCGGAAUCAUUGGGCGUAAAGAGCGCGUAGGUGGCUUGUCAGGUCUGAUGUGAAAACUUGGGGCUCAACCCCAAGCCUGCAUCGGAAACCGGCUUGCUAGAGUCUGGGAGAGGAGAGUGGAAUUCCUGGUGUAGCGGUGAAAUGCGUAGAUAUCAGGAGGAACACCGGUAGCGAAGGCGGCUCUCUGGAACAGUACUGACACUGAGGCGCGAAAGCUAGGGGAGCGAACAGGAUUAGAUACCCUGGUAGUCCUAGCCGUAAACGAUGGACACUAGGUGUCGGGGGUGUCGACUCCCCCGGUGCCGAAGCUAACGCAUUAAGUGUCCCGCCUGGGGAGUACGGCCGCAAGGCUAAAACUCAAAGGAAUUGACGG